RNAcentral lists this ribosomal RNA (447 nucleotides) under uncultured bacterium. RNAcentral's name for it is "bacterial SSU rRNA". It matches the Rfam family "Bacterial small subunit ribosomal RNA", at positions 355 to 825 of the family's 1533-position model. The record is from RNAcentral.
UGGGGAAUAUUGGACAAUGGGCGCAAGCCUGAUCCAGCCAUGCCGCGUGAGUGACGAAGGCCUUAGGGUUGUAAAGCUCUUUUGGCGGGGACGAUAAUGACGGUACCCGCAGAAUAAGCUCCGGCUAACUUCGUGCCAGCAGCCGCGGUAAUACGAAGGGAGUUAGCGUUGUUCGGAAUCACUGGGCGUAAAGCGCACGUAGGCGGAUUAUUAAGUCAGGGGUGAAAUCCCGGGGCUCAACCUCGGAACUGCCUCUGAUACUGAUAGUCUCGAGUCCGGAAGAGGUGGGUGGAAUUCCUAGUGUAGAGGUGAAAUUCGUAGAUAUUAGGAAGAACACCGGUGGCGAAGGCGGCCCACUGGUCCGGUACUGACGCUGAGGUGCGAAAGCGUGGGGAGCAAACAGGAUUAGAUACCCCCGUAGUCCCUGAGCGGGCUGGCAAGGCGCAU